AUAGCAAUAUGAAUUUUGCCUACAGAGAAAAUGGAUUCAUUUCUGCUUUUGAUUACAUCAAAUGCCUUCUCAAUCCUCCCUAAUUAACCACCAUCCAAAAAUUUUACUAGACAAACAUCCACUGUAGUAUCCAAUGACACUUCAGGCUACUGCAAGUCAGAAACAGAAGCAAUUGAAUCUAGCUAAUAAAUCAGUAUAACUGUAUAAGCGACAAAUGUACAUAUUUCAAUUCUACUACUAUACCCAAGAGAAAAAAGGCAGAAUAUUUUGAUGGUACAUGUUACUGACCAAGAGAUCCUCUGGUUUCUUGCUAUACAAUCGAUGUCAACUUCAAACCUAUAAUCUAAGAAAAUGACCCUACCAGCUACUCAAGAAAAAAGAACUCGUGCAUAGGAUGCAUACUGUAAAUUAUCUCUUACUGUGCAGCUAGAAAGUAAUCCCGGAUGGUUUUUCUUUUCAAGGAAGAAGGCGGGUUCAAUACAGAAGAUGGACUCUUCAUUGCUGCUUCAGGAGUUUUCUCAAAAGUUUCUUUUGAAUCACAAUCCGAUGAGAACCUUCUCCUCUGAGGUUCAGGAGUACUUAUUGCAGGCAUUGUGAUAGAGUUUAGUGAGUCCAUUUCAUGGCAUACUUCAUCCGAAGGAUGCAAAUCACCGGGAGCUUUUGCAAGACCCAUCAGUUCUUCAUUCCUUAAAAGCCUUCGACAUUCUUCAGUUGGAAUUGCCAUUAUUCUCCUUCUAAUGGACGAAGGUGACCUUGAAUCUGCACAACUGCUUUGGACAUUCCAAAUGCGAACGGUGAAAUCAUCUGAAGCAGUAGCUAUCUUGCCAUCUAAUGGGCACCAAUCUACUGCUGUAACUUCUCCAUCAUGGGUUUUCAAUGUAAUGGGAUCUUUGUCAGGCUUGUUCACCUGCCAUAUGUAGGCAUUUCCAUCGCUAGAGCCAGUGAGAAUUUGAGCUGCAUCAGGACUGAUUGCUGACUUUACAAAGAAUGAUUCAAUCCGGCAUCCAGAGAACGACUUAAUUGGACCUUUUUCAAGCUGAAGCACAUUAUACAAGUAUAUUCUAUUAUCCAUGCAUGAAGCUGUAAGAAAGACUCCAUUUAAAUCCUGGGACAGGCUUGAUAUGCCAUGCAAUCUUCUUUCCUUUUCAGUUGAUGAUUUAGGAUGAGGACAAGCCUGAGUGACCUGAGCCUUUAAAUUUCUGGUAUCCCAGAAUUUUACAAUGCUGUCCACUGCCCCAGCAGUGGCAAUGGAGAUUCCAUCCUUGAGAUAAAGAACAGAUGUAAUGCUCAUGGAAGCAGCUUUGUUCCGUCUAAUUCGCUUUGCUUGAGGUGAAACAUGAGCUCUCCUGACCAUGGCAGUUGAAGUUAUGCAAGCUUCACUGCAUCUACUCUUAGAAGCAACAUUGCAUCUCAAGUCCCAUAUGGCAAAGGACCCAUCUCUUGAACCAGAAACAAGAAGAUCAGAAUUUGCUGGAUGGGGAUACAUAGAUUUAAUACUUCCUGUAUGCCCCAUCAAAACUCCAGUGCAUUUCUCCUCCUGUGCAUCCCAUACCUUAAUAGUUUGAUCACCCGAAGCAGUGAGGAUGCUGGUAUCUUCCUUGAUCCAGCAUAUAUCAAAUAUGGCAUUCUGGUGAGCCACCCAUUCACUGAUUCUUGAUUUUCCUGAACAUUCUUGAUGAGAUGCAUGAGAAGGAAGUUUUUUACGAGCGUCAAAUAAGCUCAAGUAACCAUCCUCAUCAGACACAGCCAAAAUAUGGGAACUUUUACUUGUCUUGCCAAAAGAAAUGGCCAAAGGAGGCGUCUCAUCACCAUUAUGUUCAAUGGCCAGACCUCCAAAUUCAGCAAAAUCAGACGCCUUAUCACCGAUACACGGCCGUUUUCGAACUCUGAAUCCGGUGAGUUCUCUGGACCUGAUGCCUUGGAAGAAGGAGUCCAUGGCGGCGAUGGAUAGAGAGAGAGAGAGA
RNAcentral lists this unclassified non-coding RNA (1964 nucleotides) under Hevea brasiliensis (rubber tree). Lineage: Eukaryota; Viridiplantae; Streptophyta; Magnoliopsida; Malpighiales; Euphorbiaceae. The record is from RNAcentral.